RNAcentral lists this ribosomal RNA (774 nucleotides) under uncultured bacterium. RNAcentral's name for it is "bacterial SSU rRNA". It matches the Rfam family "Bacterial small subunit ribosomal RNA", at positions 8 to 796 of the family's 1533-position model. The record is from RNAcentral.
AGAGUUUGAUCCUGGCUCAGGACGAACGCUGGCGGCGUGCUUAACACAUGCAAGUCGAACGGUGAAGCAGAGCUUGCUCUGCGGAUCAGUGGCGAACGGGUGAGUAACACGUGAGUAACCUGCCCUUGACUCUGGGAUAAGCGUUGGAAACGACGUCUAAUACCGGAUAUGACCCGCGAAGGCAUCUUCUGCGGGUGGAAAGAAUUUCGGUCAAGGAUGGACUCGCGGCCUAUCAGCUUGUUGGUGAGGUAAUGGCUCACCAAGGCGACGACGGGUAGCCGGCCUGAGAGGGUGACCGGCCACACUGGGACUGAGACACGGCCCAGACUCCUACGGGAGGCAGCAGUGGGGAAUAUUGCACAAUGGGCGCAAGCCUGAUGCAGCAACGCCGCGUGAGGGACGACGGCCUUCGGGUUGUAAACCUCUUUUAGUAGGGAAGAAGCGAAAGUGACGGUACCUGCAGAAAAAGCACCGGCUAACUACGUGCCAGCAGCCGCGGUAAUACGUAGGGUGCAAGCGUUGUCCGGAAUUAUUGGGCGUAAAGAGCUCGUAGGCGGUUUGUCGCGUCUGCUGUGAAAACUGGAGGCUCAACCUCCAGCUUGCAGUGGGUACGGGCAGACUAGAGUGCGGUAGGGGAGAUUGGAAUUCCUGGUGUAGCGGUGGAAUGCGCGAUAUCAGGAGGAACACCGAUGGCGAAGGCAGAUCUCUGGGCCGUAACUGACGCUGAGGAGCGAAAGCGUGGGGAGCGAACAGGAUUAGAUACCCUAGUAGUCC